UAUUCAGCUCAAGACGUCUCGCUAGGCCAGUUCUUGCGUGACAGCUGCUUCAAUCUUGGUCUCAAGUGCCAAAACCCGUCUUGUAAGAAAUCCGUUCUGGAUCACACUCUCUCCUUUAUCCAUAAUGACA
Molecule: small RNA, 130 nt
Filed under: Extubocellulus spinifer
Lineage: Eukaryota; Bacillariophyta; Thalassiosirophyceae; Cymatosirales; Cymatosiraceae
Description: partial Betaproteobacteria transfer-messenger RNA
Source: RNAcentral